Cyprinus carpio carpio is the source of this 1135-nucleotide long non-coding RNA. NCBI's taxonomy places the organism in Eukaryota, Metazoa, Chordata, Actinopteri, Cypriniformes, Cyprinidae. The record is from Ensembl.
CAACAAUAUACUUACUGGCCUACAAACAAUCAGACAAAACGGGCCAAAAAAGAAGAAGUCCCUGACGAAGAGAUCUGGAGCACACGAAAAAUCCGUGUUUUUGCCCAAACUGAUGAUUUUGAGAGGGCAUUAAGGUGGAGUAAAAAUGCUGAAUUGAAUUCCUCUGUAGAAAGCGACACUGGCAAUAAUUUCAAGAGGCCAACCAGAAAACCAAGCAGAUUCGAAGACAGCAGCGAUGAUGAGUGGGGAAGAGACACCUGGAUGCCUAACUUAAAGAGAAAGCGUCAAGAUGAACCCUUUCCUCGUCUCAAGGCAACAGCUGUAACAAAAAGGCCAAACAAAGCAGAGAGACAACCAUGGACAAGGCGUCCACAAGAUUUUUCAGUGCCAAAAGACCUCAAAGAAACACUGCAGGUGCUGCUGCAGAAAGUAGACACCCUGGCGGCCUCCCAGAGGGAAAUUCUACUUUUACUGCGGAGGAACCAGGGUCGUCAAAGGGAGGAUGAUAUCUUGGACCUCAAGACAGCUCAGUGCAUGGAGGAAUUGGAGGACCUUGAGAACCACCUUAAGGACCCUGAAUUUAGAAAGAAAGUGACACACCAUCUCAGCCUUAUUAGUGGGGCCAGUCCAGGGGAGUGUGUAAGGAGGGUAAUGCGCGCAGUAGCCACUAACAAUGUAUGGAGCCACUACAGCCUGCAUGGGAAGCGAAAGAAGCUGGCUCUAAUUAAUAAAACAAUAUGUAAAGUUAUCACACAUGCCGUCAUGAAAUGGAAAGCUGGUCUUGGGGAGAAGGAGAUAGAAAGUUUAAUAGCAGAGACUCUUAAACAUGCGCCGGCGCACAUAAAUAAAAGUGUCGAGGGACAUGUAGAGGAGUGGACGGAGGAGUAGAUGUGGAGGAGUAAAUGGUUCGGUGUUCAAGCUUCUGAAGAAAACCUUCUUUGUUCAUUUACAUGAUUAGAAACCUGUUCAUUUACAUGAUUAGAAACCUGUUCAUUUACAUGUUUAAAAACCUGUUUACCGUUUUGUUAUUUGUGAUUUAUCUAUACCUGUAAUAAACAACAUGAAUUAAUCAAAUUCGUGUCUUUCAUAAAUAGUUUUUGGGCAAAUGAGGACAAGUUAAAUUAGCCACGUCCGC